RNAcentral lists this long non-coding RNA (357 nucleotides) under Nicotiana benthamiana. RNAcentral describes it as "long non-coding RNA (NBEN_LNC006971)". Lineage: Eukaryota; Viridiplantae; Streptophyta; Magnoliopsida; Solanales; Solanaceae. The record is from RNAcentral.
ACCAUAAUUUAUGUUUUCAUAACUUGCAUGAUUUACACAUGAUUUCUAAUAUGAAUAUGUUGCCGUUUAUUUUAAGUUGCAUGUGGGAAAAGUCUCUUGAUAUGAUACCGCAAUAGUUAUUUCAGAUGAAUAUCAUGGUUCUAAAUAUUUUCGUUGUCACUAGAUCUGUUGUACCGUUUCUUGAAUUUACUGUUAUCGAAAAGAAAUUAUAUGAUUUGAUAAGAACGGAAAGGCCCUAUACUGUUUUAAAAUAUUUUCUACGAGUAUAUACGGAUUACAAAGACAAGUAUAAAUGGGAGUAGACUUUGAAGGAUCCCGUAGCUAACAGUGGGUUCGUUAGACCUGGUGCACCUUGUA